GACGAACGCUGGCGGCGUGCCUAAUACAUGCCAGUUGAGCGCUGACGGUUUGUACUUGUACCCACUGGAUGAGCAGCGAACGGAUGAGUAACGCGUGGGGAAUCUGCCUUUUAGCGGGGGACAACAUUUGGAAACGAAUGCUACUACCGCAUAAAAACUUUAAACACAAGUUUUAAGGUUGAAAGAUGCAAUUGCAUCACUCAAAGAUGAUCCCGCGUUGGAUUAGCUAGUUGGUGAGGUAAACGCUCACCCAGGCGAAGAUACAUAGCCGGCCUGAAAGGGUGAUCGGCCACAAUGGGACUGGGAAACGGCCCAAACCCCUACGGGGGGCAACAGUAGGGAAACAUCGGCAAUGGACGAAAGUCUGACCGAACAACGCCGGGGGAGGGAAGAAGGUUUUCGGGUCGGAAAACUCUGUUGGUAGAGAAGAACGUUGGUGAGAGUGGAAAGCUCAUCAAGUGACGGUAACUACCCAGAAAGCGACGGCUAACUACGUG
This 497-nucleotide ribosomal RNA is filed under the name uncultured bacterium. RNAcentral's name for it is "partial 16S ribosomal RNA". It matches the Rfam family "Bacterial small subunit ribosomal RNA", at positions 28 to 507 of the family's 1533-position model. The record is from RNAcentral.